Molecule: ribosomal RNA, 279 nt
Filed under: uncultured bacterium
Lineage: Bacteria
Description: partial 16S ribosomal RNA
Rfam family: Bacterial small subunit ribosomal RNA
Source: RNAcentral
UGCCAGCCGCCGCGGUAAUACGUAUGGUGCAAGCGUUAUCCGGAAUCACUGGGCGUAAAGGGUACGUAGGCGGUUUUGCAAGUCAGAAGUGAAAGGCUACGGCUCAACCGUAGUAAGCUUUUGAAACUGCAAAACUAGAGUUCAGGGAGAGGUAAGUGGAAUUCUGUGUGUAGGGGUGCAAUCCGUAGAUACACAGAGGAACACCAAAAGCGAAGGCAACUUACUGGAACUGUAUUGACGCUCAUGAACGAAAGCGUGGGUAGCGAAAAGGAUUAGAUA